CCUACGGGGGGCUGCAGUGGGGAAUAUUGCACAAUGGGCGCAAGCCUGAUGCAGCCAUGCCGCGUGUGUGAUGAAGGCCUUCGGGUUGUAAAGCACUUUCAGCGGGGAGGAAGGCGGUGAGGUUAAUAACCUCAUCGAUUGACGUUACCCGCAGAAGAAGCACCGGCUAACUCCGUGCCAGCAGCCGCGGUAAUACGGAGGGUGCAAGCGUUAAUCGGAAUUACUGGGCGUAAAGCGCACGCAGGCGGUCUGUCAAGUCGGAUGUGAAAUCCCCGGGCUCAACCUGGGAACUGCAUUCGAAACUGGCAGGCUAGAGUCUUGUAGAGGGGGGUAGAAUUCCAGGUGUAGCGGUGAAAUGCGUAGAGAUCUGGAGGAAUACCGGUGGCGAAGGCGGCCCCCUGGACAAAGACUGACGCUCAGGUGCGAAAGCGUGGGGAGCAAACAGGAUUAGAUACCCUUGUAGUC
RNAcentral lists this ribosomal RNA (465 nucleotides) under uncultured Klebsiella sp. Its description in RNAcentral is "bacterial SSU rRNA". It matches the Rfam family "Bacterial small subunit ribosomal RNA", at positions 338 to 795 of the family's 1533-position model. The record is from RNAcentral. Lineage: Bacteria; Pseudomonadati; Pseudomonadota; Gammaproteobacteria; Enterobacterales; Enterobacteriaceae.